CCUACGGGUGGCAGCAGUGGGGAAUAUUGCACAAUGGGGGAAACCCUGAUGCAGCGACGCCGCGUGAGCGAUGAAGUAUCUCGGUAUGUAAAGCUCUAUCAGCAGGGAAGAAAGUGACAGUACCUGACUAAGAAGCCCCGGCUAACUACGUGCCAGCAGCCGCGGUAAUACGUAGGGGGCAAGCGUUAUCCGGAUUCACUGGGCGUAAAGGGAGCGCAGGCGGCACGGCAAGUCUGGUGUGAAAACCCGGGGCUCAACCCCGGGACUGCAUUGGAAACUGCCGGGCUGGAGUGUCGGAGGGGUAAGCGGAAUUCCUAGUGUAGCGGUGAAAUGCGUAGAUAUUAGGAGGAACACCAGUGGCGAAGGCGGCUUACUGGACGAUGACUGACGCUGAGGCUCGAAAGCGUGGGGAGCAAACAGGAUUAGAUACCCUGGUAGUC
This 440-nucleotide ribosomal RNA is filed under the name uncultured bacterium. RNAcentral describes it as "partial 16S ribosomal RNA". It matches the Rfam family "Bacterial small subunit ribosomal RNA", at positions 338 to 795 of the family's 1533-position model. The record is from RNAcentral.